This 77-nucleotide transfer RNA is filed under the name Pseudomonas aeruginosa. RNAcentral describes it as "tRNA-Asp". It matches the Rfam family "tRNA". Rfam says of the family: Transfer RNA (tRNA) molecules are approximately 80 nucleotides in length. Their secondary structure includes four short double-helical elements and three loops (D, anti-codon, and T loops). RNAcentral also lists the same sequence under 3 other names. The record is from RNAcentral. Lineage: Bacteria; Pseudomonadati; Pseudomonadota; Gammaproteobacteria; Pseudomonadales; Pseudomonadaceae.
GGAGCGGUAGUUCAGUCGGUGAGAAUACCGGCCUGUCACGCCGGGGGUCGCGGGUUCGAGUCCCGUCCGCUCCGCCA